GAUGAAGAACGCAGCGAAAUGCGAUAAGUAAUGCGAAUUGCAGAAUUCCAGUGAGUCAUCGAAUCUUUGAACGCACAUUGCGCCCUGUGGUAUUCCGCAGGGCAUGCCUGUUCGAGCGUCAUUUCAACCCUCAAGCCCCGCUUGGUGUUGGGCCCCGCCCGCUGUGGCCGGCCCUAAAGACAGUGGCGGCGCCGCCUGGCCCUCAGCGUAGUACAUCUCUCGCUCCAGGGUCCGGUGGCCGCCUGCCAGAACCCCCCAACUCUGUGGUUGACCUCGGAUCAGGUAGGGAUACCCGCUGAACUUAAGCAUAUCAAUAAGCGGAGGA
Molecule: unclassified non-coding RNA, 325 nt
Filed under: soil metagenome
Description: partial contains 5.8S ribosomal RNA, internal transcribed spacer 2, and large subunit ribosomal RNA
Rfam family: 5.8S ribosomal RNA (bases 1-121)
Source: RNAcentral